CGCCAGACUCCUACGGGAGGCAGCAGUGGGGAAUAUUGCACAAUGGGGGAAACCCUGAUGCAGCGACGCCGCGUGAGUGAAGAAGUAUUUCGGUAUGUAAAGCUCUAUCAGCAGGGAAGAAAUAGCGACCUUUGGGUCGCCAGACGGUACCUGAUUAAGAAGCCCCGGCUAACUACGUGCCAGCAGCCGCGGUAAUACGUAGGGGGCAAGCGUUAUCCGGAUUUACUGGGUGUAAAGGGAGCGUAGACGGUGAUGCAAGUCAGAAGUGAAAGCCCGGGGCUCAACUCCGGGACUGCUUUUGAAACUGUGUGACUGGAGUGCAGGAGAGGUAAGCGGAAUUCCUGGUGUAGCGGUGAAAUGCGUAGAUAUCAGGAGGAACACCAGUGGCGAAGGCGGCUUACUGGACUGUAACUGACGUUGAGGCUCGAAAGCGUGGGGAGCAAACAGGAUUAGAUACCCGCGUA
Molecule: ribosomal RNA, 464 nt
Filed under: uncultured bacterium
Lineage: Bacteria
Description: bacterial SSU rRNA
Rfam family: Bacterial small subunit ribosomal RNA
Source: RNAcentral